This 104-nucleotide non-coding RNA is filed under the name Pseudovibrio exalbescens. RNAcentral describes it as "Nesiotobacter exalbescens Glycine sequence". It matches the Rfam family "Glycine riboswitch aptamer". From Rfam's summary of the family: This family represents the bacterial glycine riboswitch. Glycine riboswitches usually consist of two metabolite-binding aptamers domains with similar structures in tandem. Lineage: Bacteria; Pseudomonadati; Pseudomonadota; Alphaproteobacteria; Hyphomicrobiales; Stappiaceae. The record is from Rfam by way of RNAcentral.
CCAGUCUAAGCGGGAGAGAUCGCCACCCGGGCGUCCGGGGCUCAGGCGACGCCGAAGGAGCAACCGCCCCGGAAACUCUCAGGCUGAAGGACCGCUUGGUAAGC